UGGGGAAUUGUUCGCAAUGGGCGCAAGCCUGACGACGCAACGCCGCGUGGAGGAUGAAGACCUUCGGGUCGUAAACUCCUUUCGAUCGAGACGAAUGGCCCUUGGGCUAAUCACCAGGGGAAUGACGGUACCGAGAGAAGAAGGUGCGGCCAACUACGUGCCAGCAGCCGCGGUGACACGUAGGCACCAAGCGUUGUCCGGAUUUAUUGGGCGUAAAGAGCUCGUAGGCGGUUCGGUAAGUCGGGUGUGAAAACUUUGGGCUUAACCCAAAGCCUGCAUCCGAUACUGCUGUGACUAGAGUUCGGUAGGGGAGCGGGGAAUUCCUAGUGUAGCGGUGAAAUGCGCAGAUAUUAGGAGGAACACCGGUGGCGAAGGCGCCGCUCUGGGCCGAUACUGACGCUGAGGAGCGAAAGCGUGGGUAGCAAACAGGAUUAGAUACCCAUGUAGUCCCUGAGCGGGCUGGCAAGGCGCAU
This 473-nucleotide ribosomal RNA is filed under the name uncultured bacterium. RNAcentral describes it as "bacterial SSU rRNA". It matches the Rfam family "Bacterial small subunit ribosomal RNA", at positions 355 to 825 of the family's 1533-position model. The record is from RNAcentral.